UUGUCGAUGUAAAUAAAAGGAUGAAAUGAAAAUAGAUCCAUCUGCGUUUGUCCAUGAGUUUUAAUUAAUUUUGUUGAUUGUGUUAAUUGAGACUUUAACUUACGUUCGUUUUGCCUUUCAUUUCUUUUCGCUAGGUCGUAGAAAUUAAUUUUGCUCAUUAUGUCCAACAAAUUCGAAAACUCAAAGAAUAACGAUGAUUCAAAUGAUGACCUGACUUGCACAGAUUUGUUAAGUGCUGAUAAGGUGUUGCUGAUACCUUUCAAAAUACCACCCGGCGACCAUAAACUACAGUAUCAGUAUUGGCUAUGGUUCAGCCGAAGAAAUCCUGGUAGAACUCCUCAGGUGCAAAGUUAUGACCAAAAUUUAAAAUUGAUAGGAAGAUUUGGUUCAGUGGAGCAGUUUUGGGCCAUAUACAGUCAUUUAGUGCGACCUUCCGAGCUUCAGUGUCUAAGUGAUUUCCAUCUCUUCAAAGUUGGCAUUAAACCUAUGUGGGAGGAUGAAGCCAAUGAAAGAGGCGGAAAGUGGAUAGUAAGAUUACGGAAAGGCUUAGCAUCAAGGUGCUGGGAAAAUUUAGUACUUGCAAUGCUAGGGGAACAAUUUAUGGUCGGUGAAGAAAUAUGUGGAGCAGUUGUGUCAAUACGGUUUCAGGAAGACAUAAUCUCAGUAUGGAAUAAAUCUGCCUCUGAUCAGGCAACAACUAAUAGAAUACGCGAUACCUUAAGGAGAGUCUUAAACCUGCCACCUAACACAAUACUCGAGUACAAAACUCAUAAUGAUAGCCUCAAAUUAAAACACACAACUCAAAAUUCAACGCGUAAACCACUCGAAAGUUUGAAAACAAUGAAUCCUCGUUUACCAUCGAGAAUCAUGUUCGUUCCACCCAAUAACCGGAUUUCAUCUAGAGGCUCAAUAUCAGUAGACGGACCGCCACGAUCGCUCAUGGACCCGUAGCCAUAUUUGUAGAGGAGCGGAACAAUCGGACAGACAGAAUCAGAACAUAAUAUCAAACAAAGAUAAUUUCAGUUUCCGGAAUGCUGACAUCCUACCAGUAUCAAGAAUAAAAUGACACUCUUCUCUUUGAGUUCAUUUGAGGCAGUGUGUAACGAAGAAAAUCAAUCAGUGACUUAACCUCCAUGUUUUACAUUAAUUUUUUAAUCAAAUUUAUUUUUUGGUCAUUUGAUUUUGAUUUUUUUGCCAUCCAAGGUUUUUUUAACAGAGCUUUUUGUUUUAAAAAAGGAAAUUUGUGAUAACUGUUUUUACCAAUGAUGAAUGUAUUUACUUUUUAUCAGUAUAUUUUUAAAGGAUUGAUUAGUUGAUAUUGGGGUAGCAUGAAAUUGAUUCAUUUCCAAAGGAAUGUUAACACACUGUAGUUAGAACUGGCUGUUUGUUCAUUGUUGUCGAACUGUUUCCUCAGGCAGUUAUACCCAAAUUAUUCGGUUCAUUAUUUAGUUUGUUGCUUUCGGUUCUGAUGAUUUUAGACUUUUUGCUCUCACUGAUUUUAAAAACUGCAAGGUGCCAGGUACUCUUUCAUCAUGUUACCCAUUGUCAUCAGAUUGCAUCAAUAAAGUAGCUAAUUUUGGCCAUGACUCAAUAUCAAAUUUUCAUAACUAUAAGGACAUGAAUUGAUUUUCAACUCUUUUAUCAGAUAAAAAUAAUUCAAAUAAACUGGGUGAAGUCAGUUUCGGGGGAAGUGUUUUAGCUUAUUGAGUGAAUUUAAAUGAUUUUGCUGAAAUUUUAUUUCAGUAUUGCCUUCAACUACACCAGUUUAAGCAGAGUUGCAGAAAGUUUAGCCACUAAGAAGAGUUUGUUAACUGUCAGUUUUCAAAGUUACUUUAAUUUUCUGAAGACUAUAGUAUAGUAGAUAGCAAAAUCUGGUUUAAAAAACUGAAAUAAUUGAUAAAUCUUCCCUAAAAUGUCAAGGAACUUCAUGAAAAAAAUAUGAAUUUCUUCAUUUUUUACUUUUCUCUGUAUUCAGAAUUUUUGCAAGUGUCAAAAAUAAUUGUUUGAAAAAUGAUUGCUUCAAAAAAGAGAAUUGAGAAUUAAGGUGACCUUUGUAAAUCACACAGUAGACACACCCUUUGUUUUAGGCAUGUCACCACGAUGAUAAAUGAUUCAUUCAUUACAUAAGUUGGAGGCUUUUUCAACAUUUUGGUCAGAAAAAGCUUGGCAAAUUCACGAAAUUUUUCUCUUAAAGUCUGUCCACUUAAAUUAACGAAGAUUCUUUAAUUGGCAAACAGCGUACUAUCUAAGCUCACUCAGAAUUUCUGAUCAUCAAACACCACAAAAGCCAUCUCAUUUCAAUUGCUGCUAGCCACCCCUCCUGCUUUGUGGGCGUAGAAUAAUUUCUUCGAGUCUUCAACUUUCAUUGCAGGCAUUGAACCUAGUUUUAUGUGCUAUUACUUUUUUUCUGGAAGAAAGUUGAAAGUGAUGUCAGAUCCGUUUUAAAUAUUGAUUCAGAGCAUUUUGUCUUGUUAUUUUGCAUACAUUGAUUGUCGGUUGAUAAUUGACCUGCCAAACCUCUACUGCUCAUUUUUAAAGCUGUUAUAUACAUAUAGAGAGAACAGCCCUAUCACUGAUUGUACCAUAGGUCUUUAAUUUUCUUGUUACUGUAUAAUUUAAAUGAUAUUUGCACAAGCAAAUAUUUUAAAAGGUGCAAGUAAUAUGAUCGAGAAAUGCAUAUUUUUAAUUUUGAUAAAAUAAAGCAAAUUUGUAAUUUGCAGGAACGAAUUGCAACAAAAAUUAAAGACAGAAUUUUAUGCAAAUAAAGUGAUUUUCAUUAACA
Bemisia tabaci is the source of this 2782-nucleotide RNA transcript. It is a transcript of the gene named eukaryotic translation initiation factor 4E homologous protein, with no coding region annotated. The record is from RefSeq and is a predicted model, not a curated record. Lineage: Eukaryota; Metazoa; Arthropoda; Insecta; Hemiptera; Aleyrodidae.